Molecule: ribosomal RNA, 459 nt
Filed under: uncultured bacterium
Lineage: Bacteria
Description: partial 16S ribosomal RNA
Rfam family: Bacterial small subunit ribosomal RNA
Source: RNAcentral
CCUACGGGGGGCAGCAGUGAGGAAUAUUGGUCAAUGGCCGAGAGGCUGAACCAGCCAAGUCGCGUGCGGGAAGAAUGUCCUAUGGAUUGUAAACCGCUUUUGUCAGGGAGCAAAGUCACCCACGUGUGGGUGUUUGCGAGUACCUGAAGAAAAAGCAUCGGCUAAUUCCGUGCCAGCAGCCGCGGUAAUACGGAGGGUGCGAGCGUUAUCCGGAUUUAUUGGGUUUAAAGGGUGCGUAGGCGGGUUAUCAAGUCAGCGGUAAAAUCGUGGGGCUCAACUCCAUCCAGCCGUUGAAACUGAUCAUCUUGAGUGCGCGAGAGGUAUGCGGAAUGCGUGGUGUAGCGGUGAAAUGCAUAGAUAUCACGCAGAACUCCGAUUGCGAAGGCAGCAUGCCGGGGCGCGACUGACGCUGAAGCACGAAGGCGUGGGUAUCGAACAGGAUUAGAUACCCGUGUAGUC